This 447-nucleotide ribosomal RNA is filed under the name uncultured bacterium. Its description in RNAcentral is "bacterial SSU rRNA". It matches the Rfam family "Bacterial small subunit ribosomal RNA", at positions 355 to 825 of the family's 1533-position model. The record is from RNAcentral.
UCGGGAAUUUUGGGCAAUGGGCGAAAGCCUGGCCCAGCAACGCCGCGUGAAGGAUGAAGUAUUUCGGUAUGUAAACUUCGUAAGAAUAGGAAGAAUAAAUGACGGUACUAUUUGUAAGGUCCGGCUAACUACGUGCCAGCAGCCGCGGUAAUACGUAGGGACCAAGCGUUGUUCGGAUUUACUGGGCGUAAAGGGCGCGUAGGCGGUGUGUCAAGUCAGUUGUGAAAUCUCCGAACUUAACUCGGAACGGUCAACUGAUACUGUCACACUAGAGUACAGAAGGGGCAAUCGGAAUUCUUGGUGUAGCGGUGAAAUGCGUAGAUAUCAAGAGGAACACCUGAGGCGAAGGCGGGUUGCUGGGCUGAUACUGACGCUGAGGCGCGAAAGCGUGGGGAGCAAACAGGAUUAGAUACCCUAGUAGUCCCUGAGCGGGCUGGCAAGGCGCAU